RNAcentral lists this ribosomal RNA (496 nucleotides) under uncultured bacterium. Its description in RNAcentral is "partial 16S ribosomal RNA". It matches the Rfam family "Bacterial small subunit ribosomal RNA", at positions 28 to 506 of the family's 1533-position model. The record is from RNAcentral.
GAUGAACGCUGGCGGCGUGCCUAAUACAUGCAAGUCGAGCGAACAGACGAGGAGCUUGCUCCUCUGACGUUAGCGGCGGACGGGUGAGUAACACGUGGAUAACCUACCUAUAAGACUGGGAUAACUUCGGGAAACCGGAGCUAAUACCGGAUAAUAUAUUGAACCACAUGGUUCAAUAGUGAAAGACGGUUUUGCUGUCACUUAUAGAUGGAUCCGCGCCGCAUUAGCUAGUUGGUAAGGUAACGGCUUACCAAGGCAACGAUGCGUAGCCGACCUGAGAGGGUGAUCGGCCACACUGGAACUGAGACACGGUCCAGACUCCUACGGGAGGCAGCAGUAGGGAAUCUUCCGCAAUGGGCGAAAGCCUGACGGAGCAACGCCGCGUGAGUGAUGAAGGUCUUCGGAUCGUAAAACUCUGUUAUUAGGGAAGAACAAAUGUGUAAGUAACUAUGCACGUCUUGACGGUACCUAAUCAGAAAGCCACGGCUAACUACGU